RNAcentral lists this long non-coding RNA (1527 nucleotides) under Glycine max (soybean). RNAcentral describes it as "long non-coding RNA (GMAX_LNC000132)". Lineage: Eukaryota; Viridiplantae; Streptophyta; Magnoliopsida; Fabales; Fabaceae. The record is from RNAcentral.
UCACAUUCACUUUCUUCUACAUCAUAUUCAAACUUGUCCAAAUAAAUAAUAAAGUCAUCUCGACUCAAAGAAAGUCAUAUAAGUCUCAUACAAUUAAUAUAGAACCUAUAUCCUAAUGUCACAUCCUAUCAGAGCGUGGUGUUCCCGUGUCCUCUAGCAUGAGGUUCUUCAUAGUCAUCCACCUAUUCAUCUGCUCCCCCGAACACAAGUUCAAGAUCAUCACAGGAUCCAAGCACAACAACACACAGGGAGUGAGUUAUCACAUUCCUAGCUAAUAGAGAAACAAGACAAUUAAAUAUACAUAUUAUAUAAAUGAGAUACUACUUGCUUAAACAUAGCUCACGUAACUUCACCACUUCGUCAUUCAAAAUUCACUUUUCAAUUAUCAAUCACAUUACACAAGAAUCCCACACUUCGAUCAAGAUAUAAUAACACAUCAAUUAGCAAGCAUAUGUAAUAGUUAUGCUAAGACUCAAUUCUAUAUGCAAUGUGGUACCAUGUCAGUGAAAAACCACCCUGGGGCUCUUAGGAGUACAUAACAAGAUACACCACACAAUGGGUUUGUUAGGUCACUCUCACUAAGUAAGAUCAUAGGGAGACCAGUCAGGGUCACGAUGUUUUGCGAGAAUGCUCCAACCAUAUGAGAUCAGCAUAGGCUUAAAGGAGCACUCAAACCCGGUGACCCCCAAGACCUACACUCCGAAGAGUCCGUCAGGGCCUCUCCCUCCUGAUUCAGGUCCAACCCCUAAAAUAAUUUUUUUUACAUGCAGACACUGUUCAUGAAUUAUACAAUACCCACGACCUUACACUCGUGUUUUAAACACGUUCAACACAAUUGCGCUACGAUUUAACACUGGUUCCUAAAUAGGAAACCUACAUUUUCUCUUUAACACUGUGCAUCAACGCUUUUCUCAAGAUAACGCUGGUCGGGUAUUGUACAAUUCAUAGCUUACAACACAAGUAAUUUCACAUCAAGUGUUAACUACACACUUAUCCACAACUAGAACUCAUUCACAAUUUCACAUCUCAUAGUGUCACAAUCCACCAUCACAUGUUUACACGUAUCUCACAAAUUAACACAUGUUCAACUUUACACUUAUACUCAAUCUCAAUAACAAUAUUAUAAUCUCAAAGCAACAUGUUAUUCUACAAUUCAUCACAUACUCACAAUUUGAAUUAUCAUUUCAUAUCCUCAAUAUAACAAUUUAUAUAAAAGACUAUCACAACAUGAGGACUAAAACCCCUCAAAUAAUAUUACACAAUUAUAUCCAAAUCAUAGGUCCAAAUAUACAAAUAUCAAGAGCACAAUUUAUCAAGCAAUUUUCAUCAGGACAUCAAUAUUUUAUUUAUAAUCAUAAAGGAAAAAUUGCAAUUUAACAAACAUCCCAAAAUAAAAUCCCAAUUUAAUCCUCUAAGGAUCCCUACACAUGUUCUCACUAAUCCCCAACUGUGAAUAACUCAUCUCUUACCUCUAAGCGGGCUCACGUGUCUUCAGCCAACGAUAGCAACAUCUCUAGCGGUUCCCGG